UUCCAGCCGCCUGGAGCCCGCUGCCUCUCCCCGAAACGCCGGGGUCCCCGCCCUUGCCGGUGGCGCCGCGCGGCUGCCCGGGCGCGAGGUGCCCGAGCUCUAUGCGCUCUUUAGGCCGGCCGGCGGGAGGCAGCGGCAAGAGGCGCUUUUCCGGAGCGCCCGCUCGGCAGCAAGGCCUCGGACGGAGGCGAAAUAAAUAAUGCACGAAAAAGGAAAACAGACGUGAGCGGAGCCAGAGCCUCGCCCGCCUCCCGCCCGCGCUCCCCGCCGCCGCCGCCAGCGCCGCUGCAGUGAUUCCUCGUCUCCAUCUAGCGAGGCUAUUGUCCAAGACUAUCAACAAGUCGGUUGCGGGAAGGAGCCUGCUACGUCUCCAGCAGACAAGCUACUCCUCGCUUCCGAAGAAGCUUGCAGGCGCGCUCUGGUCUUUCAGACCAACGUCUUGGCGACCUUCUUCAUGUCAGAGCCCCAGGACGCGAUAGAUACUCUUCUCCGUAGGACUCUAGGGAUCCGGAUCCGCCCCUCCACUGCACUGGGGAUGGAACUCAGUACCUUCUGCUUGGGAGGCAGGCGCGUUGCCACUGAGCUAAAUGCCUGGCCCUGCAUUAUCUAAUCUGGUCUUCAGCAUUCCUAUACUGGACCUCUAUGUACCAAUGCACCUCUUGAGAGUCACCUGGCCCUCAUCUUCCUGGCCCAUCCAACACUGCAGAAUGUCACAGCCUCCCUUAGGGUGAAGACAAGCUCCAUUGCAGAUCUCUCAUGCCACAGUAGGACCCAGGGAUGUGCUGGCUCCUCUCGCCCUUUCUGGGUAUAGAUGGUGACCCACACACUGUCACACAGGAUCUGCUUACAGAGGCCACUUGGCAGCUCUACUCAGAAAUGGAAAGGAGUUAAACUUUGGGGGAAAACUUUGGCCAAUGAAAGGCAGGAGAUGAAAGGAACCCAGCAUACGGAUUCCAGUGGUUCCAGUUGACCUGUCAGGAGGUGUCCAGUAGGUGAUUAAGCAACUGGCAAUGUUUUCUCCAGAUAUGUGGCCAGCUUGAUAAUUCACAACUUUGUAUUUGCUCCCCGCCUUACUACCACUUUUCCCUUGUUUUUCUUACCCUAGGAUUUUAUCCCUCAAUAAAGUAUCAACAAGUG
This 1137-nucleotide long non-coding RNA is filed under the name Heterocephalus glaber (naked mole-rat). Its description in RNAcentral is "lncRNA (ENSHGLG00000036946.1)". Lineage: Eukaryota; Metazoa; Chordata; Mammalia; Rodentia; Bathyergidae. The record is from RNAcentral.